This 1330-nucleotide ribosomal RNA is filed under the name uncultured bacterium. Its description in RNAcentral is "bacterial SSU rRNA". It matches the Rfam family "Bacterial small subunit ribosomal RNA", at positions 1 to 1377 of the family's 1533-position model. The record is from RNAcentral.
AUUCGAUUAGAGUUUGAUCAUGGCUCAGAACGUACGCUGGCGGCACGCCUAACACAUGCAAGUCGAACGAAGUAGCAAUACUUAGUGGCAGACGGGUGAGUAACAUGUAGGUAUCUGCCCUUUGGCCUGGAAUAACACGAGGAAACUUGUGCUAAUACCGGAUAAGUCUUUACGGAGAAAGCUUUAUGCACCAUUGGAUGAGCCUGCACUUGAUUAGUUUGUUGGUGGGGUAAUGGCCUACCAAGACUGUGAUCAAUAGCUGAUUUGAGAGGAUGAUCAGCCACAUUGGGACUGAGACACGGCCCAAACUCCUACGGGAGGCAGCAGUGGGGAAUCUUGCACAAUGGAGGAAACCCUGAUGCAGCGAUGCCGCGUGAGUGAAGAAGGCCUUUGGGUUGUAAAGCUCUUUCGUCGGGGAAGAAAAUGACUGUACCCGAAUAAGAAGGUCCGGCUAACUUCGUGCCAGCAGCCGCGGUAAUACGAAGGGACCUAGCGUAGUUCGGAAUUACUGGGCUUAAAGAGUUCGUAGGUGGUUAAAAAAGUUGGUGGUGAAAUCCCAGAGCUUAACUCUGGAACUGCCAUCAAAACUUUUUAGCUAGAGUAUGAUAGAGGAAAGCAGAAUUUCUAGUGUAGAGGUGAAAUUCGUAGAUAUUAGAAAGAAUACCAAUUGCGAAGGCAGCUUUCUGGAUCAUUACUGACACUGAGGAACGAAAGCAUGGGUAGCGAAGAGGAUUAGAUACCCUCGUAGUCCAUGCCGUAAACGAUGUGUGUUAGACGUUGGAAAUUUAUUUUCAGUGUCGCAGCGAAAGCGAUAAACACACCGCCUGGGGAGUACGACCGCAAGGUUAAAACUCAAAUGAAUUGACGGGGACCCGCACAAGUAGUGGAGCAUGUGGUUUAAUUCGAAGAUACGCGCAGAACCUUACCAACACUUGACAUGUUCGUCGCGACUUUAAGAGAUUAAAGUUUUCGGUUCGGCCGGACGAAACACAGGUGCUGCAUGGCUGUCGUCAGCUCGUGUCGUGAGAUGUUGGGUUAAGUCCCGCAACGAGCGCAACCCUCACUUUUAGUUGCCAUCAUUAAGUUGGGCACUCUGAAAGAACUGCCAGUGAUAAGCUGGAGGAAGGUGGGGAUGACGUCAAGUCCUCAUGGCCCUUACGUGUUGGGCUACACACGUGCUACAAUGGUAUCUACAACAGGAAGCAAAACGGCGACGUUAAGCAAAUCCUUAAAAGAUACCUCAGUUCGGAUUGCACUCUGCAACUCGAGUGCAUGAAGCUGGAAUUACUAGUAAUCGUGGAUCAGCGUGCCACGGUGAAUGCGUUCCCGG